CCUAAUAAUACCUUGUUGUAUUUUUUCAAUAACAAAUGGGAUGGCCCUGUAAAUUAUGCAGCACUGUUGUACCACAAAAGCUUGAUAUUGUAAAGCAUUACAGAUAGCAUCAUGUCUUGUCAUGUAUACAUGUAGACUGCCCAUGCUCUUCUACAUCCUGGAGGGCCCUCCGCAGUCUUUUGUCAAGACAGCAUCCAGAAGACCCAAGUGCCUCUGUGAUGAAGAAGAGAGAUGUGACUCUAAGAUGCCUCACUGAGUAUAUGUGAAAUAGUGGACAGGACCUUAUCUCUGAGUACUAUGGAACUGCAGAGUGCAGCGUGCAUGAGGACCUGAAAAUGCAGUUUGAGGAGCUAGCCUAUGCUCGCCAUGAGCCAGAUGCGGUGGGCAUCAUCAUCGAGGGAAUCCAGUGCUUACAGAUCUUGACAAUCUGGCCAGAAUCUCCAGUAUCCGCACUGGGUCCUCAACUAACCUCCAUGGUCAUUAGUUUCACUAACAAGUUUCAAGCGUGGACAGUGAAACAUGACAGUCACCCUGGCUGUCACAAACAGAUAUUUUUUCUGUUAAUGAACAUUUUUCUGUUAUGAUCAAGUGUUUUAAUAGUCACUGAAAUACACUGUCACAAUAUUGUAUCAAGCUGCAGUUUGUAAGCUGAGGUCACAAGUUGUAGUAUGUAAAAUGUUUUAUUAAGAUUAGAAAAGGAAAAUCUGACAAUAUUAAACCAUAACUCACAAUGUAUAAAAACACCUACAGUUGCAGCUUCUGCCUUCUAGCACAGCUUCUGUUCUGUUACCAGUGACGUCUAAUGAUGCCUGAGGCAGACUGUUAGCUGUAAUUUUUGAAAUAGUAAAAUUUGUCCCUUCAAGAUUACUGUUUAUACACAGAAGAGGUGCUGGAAAGGUAUUCUACUACACAUAGGCUGUGGUCAGAAGAUUGUGUCAAUAAUUUUGCAUAACUGCAUUUAAUGGAUUUUAAUAAAUG
Micropterus dolomieu (smallmouth bass) is the source of this 978-nucleotide long non-coding RNA. RefSeq lists it as uncharacterized. The record is from RefSeq and is a predicted model, not a curated record. Lineage: Eukaryota; Metazoa; Chordata; Actinopteri; Centrarchiformes; Centrarchidae. The transcript has 3 exons.